GUGCUUGCUUCAGUAGCACGCGUACUAAAACUGGAACAAUACGGAGAUUAGCAUGACCCCUGUGCAAGGUGACACACAAAUUCGUGAAGCAUUCCAUAUUUAA
Zalophus californianus (California sea lion) is the source of this 103-nucleotide small nuclear RNA. NCBI's taxonomy places the organism in Eukaryota, Metazoa, Chordata, Mammalia, Carnivora, Otariidae. The record is from Ensembl.